This 457-nucleotide ribosomal RNA is filed under the name uncultured Lachnospiraceae bacterium. RNAcentral describes it as "bacterial SSU rRNA". It matches the Rfam family "Bacterial small subunit ribosomal RNA", at positions 925 to 1374 of the family's 1533-position model. Lineage: Bacteria; Bacillati; Bacillota; Clostridia; Lachnospirales; Lachnospiraceae. The record is from RNAcentral.
ACAAGCAGCGGAGCAUGUGGUUUAAUUCGAAGCAACGCGAAGAACCUUACCAGGUCUUGACAUCCAGUAAAACCUGCAGAGAUGCCAGUGUGCCUUCGGGCGUACUGAGACAGGUGGUGCAUGGUUGUCGUCAGCUCGUGUCGUGAGAUGUUGGGUUAAGUCCCGCAACGAGCGCAACCCUUGCCGAUAAUUACUAACAGGUAGUGCUGAGGACUUUAUUGGGACCGCCGGGGACAACUCGGAGGAAGGUGGGACGACGUCAAAUCAUCAUGCCCCUUAUGACCUGGGCUACACACGUGCUACAAUGGCCGAGACAAAGAGAAGCGAGGGCGCGAGCCGGAGCGAAUCUCAGAAAAGCGGUCACAGUUCGGAUUGUGGGCUGCAACCCGCCCACAUGAAGCAGGAGUUGCUAGUAAUCGCGGAUCAGCAUGCCCGCGGUCGAAUACGUUCCGGCCUU